GAUGAACGCUGGCGGCGUGCCUAAUACAUGCAAGUCGAGCGAACAGACGAGGAGCUUGCUCCUCUGACGUUAGCGGCGGACGGGUGAGUAACACGUGGAUAACCUACCUAUAAGACUGGGAUAACUUCGGGAAACCGGAGCUAAUACCGGAUAAUAUAUUGAACCGCAUGGUUCAAUAGUGAAAGACGGUUUUGCUGUCACUUAUAGAUGGAUCCGCGCCGCAGUAGCUAGUUGGUAAGGUAACGGCUUACCAAGGCAACGAUGCGUAGCCGACCUGAGAGGGUGAUCGGCCACACUGGAACUGAGACACGGUCCAGACUCCUACGGGAGGCAGCAGUAGGGAAUCUUCCGCAAUGGGCGAAAGCCUGACUGAGCAACGCCGCGUGAGUUAUGAAGGUCUUCGGAUCGUAAAACUCUGUUAUUAGGGAAGAACAAAUGUGUAAGUAACUAUGCACGUCUUGACGGUACCUAAUCAGAAAGCCACGGCUAACUACGUG
This 497-nucleotide ribosomal RNA is filed under the name uncultured bacterium. Its description in RNAcentral is "partial 16S ribosomal RNA". It matches the Rfam family "Bacterial small subunit ribosomal RNA", at positions 28 to 507 of the family's 1533-position model. The record is from RNAcentral.